AGAGUUUGAUCCUGGCUCAGAACGAACGCUGGCGGCAGGCCUAAAACAUGCAAGUCGAACGAAGGCUUCGGCCUUAGUGGCGCACGGGUGAGUAACGCGUGGGAACGUGCCCCUGGGUGCGGAAUAACGUCUGGAAACGGACGCUAAUACCGCAUAAUGACUCCGGUCCAAAGUCCAGUUGUCAGUUUUCAGUUAGCAGUUGGCAGAUGUGAGAUUGUCGGUAAUUCAUGUACAGAAUUAUCCGCUUUCUUUGGUAAUUUCUGACGACUGAUAACCGAUAACUGACAACAGGUACGCCCAGGGAUCGGCCCGCGUUAGAUUAGGUAGUUGGUGGGGUAAUUGCCUACCAAGCCGACGAUCUAUAGCUGGUCUGAGAGGAUGAUCAGCCACACUGGGACUGAGACACGGCCCAGACUCCUACGGGAGGCAGCAGUUAGGAAUAUUGGACAAUGGGGGCAACCCUGAUCCAGCCAUGCCGCGUGAGUGAAGAAGGCCUUAGGGUUGUAAAGCUCUUUCAGGUGCGACGAUGAUGACGGUAACACCAGGAGAAGCCCCGGCUAAAUUCGUGCCAGCAGCCGCGGUAAUACGAAUGGGGCAAGCGUUGUUCGGAAUCACUGGGCGUAAAGCGUGCGCAGGCGGCUAUCCAAGUCAGAAGUGAAAGCCCAGGGCUCAACCCUGGAAUUGCUUUUGAAACUGGAUGGCUAGAGU
This 708-nucleotide ribosomal RNA is filed under the name uncultured bacterium. RNAcentral's name for it is "bacterial SSU rRNA". It matches the Rfam family "Bacterial small subunit ribosomal RNA", at positions 8 to 647 of the family's 1533-position model. The record is from RNAcentral.